GACGAACGCUGGCGGCGUGCCUAACACAUGCAAGUCGAACGAGGUCCAAGGGAGCUUGCUCCCUGAAGACCUAGUGGCGAACGGGUGAGUAACACGUGAGAAACCUGCCCUCGAGUGGGGAAUAACCCGGGGAAACCCGGGCUAAUACCGCAUACGCUCCUCUGGUCGCAUGGCCGGAGGAGGAAAGUUUUUCGCUCAAGGAGGGUCUCGCGGCCUAUCAGCUUGUUGGCGGGGUAACGGCCCACCAAGGCUACGACGGGUAGCUGGUUUGAGAGAACGAUCAGCCACACUGGGACUGAGACACGGCCCAGACUCCUACGGGAGGCAGCAGCGGGGAAUCUUGCGCAAUGGGCGAAAGCCUGACGCAGCAACGCCGCGUGCGGGAUGACGGCCUUCGUGGUUGUAAACCGCUUUCAGCAGGGACGAAAAUGACGGUACCUGCAGAAGAAGCACCGGCUAACUAUGUGCCAGCCGCCGCGGUAA
RNAcentral lists this ribosomal RNA (483 nucleotides) under uncultured bacterium. Its description in RNAcentral is "partial 16S ribosomal RNA". It matches the Rfam family "Bacterial small subunit ribosomal RNA", at positions 28 to 523 of the family's 1533-position model. The record is from RNAcentral.